UACAGAGGGGGCAAGCGUUGUUCGGAUUUACUGGGUUUAAAGGGUGCGUAGGUGGAUAAUUAAGUCAGUGGUGAAAUCUUCAGGCUUAACCUGGAAACUGCCAUUGAUACUAUUUAUCUUGAAUACUUUGGAGGUAAGCGGAAUAUGUCAUGUAGCGGUGAAAUGCUUAGAUAUGACAUAGAACACCAAUUGCGAAGGCAGCUUACUACACAGUAAUUGACACUGAGGCACGAAAGCGUGGGGAUCAAACAGG
This 253-nucleotide ribosomal RNA is filed under the name uncultured bacterium. Its description in RNAcentral is "partial 16S ribosomal RNA". It matches the Rfam family "Bacterial small subunit ribosomal RNA", at positions 524 to 776 of the family's 1533-position model. The record is from RNAcentral.